Molecule: long non-coding RNA, 1445 nt
Organism: Pectinophora gossypiella (pink bollworm)
Lineage: Eukaryota; Metazoa; Arthropoda; Insecta; Lepidoptera; Gelechiidae
Exons: 2
Source: RefSeq, a predicted model, not a curated record
AAAUUAGAAAUUAGUGAUAUAAAAGAAAUUGUGUAACGCAUUGACCACUAUUCUACCAACUAAAAUGUACGUAAAGUUUGUGUGCUAGCUGUGUUGAGAUAUCGUCACUUGGUGUAAGUGGCAUGAGUUGCUGUCGCUCGAUUUAGGUGGCAGUAACGACUGUGUUGGGAUAUCGUCACUUGGUGUAAGUGGCAUGAGUUGCUGUCGCUCGAUUUAGGUGGCAGCAACGACUGUGUUGAGAUAUCGUCACUUGGUGUAAGUGGCAUGAGUUGCUGUCGCUCGGUUUAGGUGGCAGCAACGACUGUGUUGAGAUAUCGUCACUUGGUGUAAGUGGCAUGAGUUGCUACCGCUCGAUUUAGGUGGUAGUGACGCCUGGUUGUGAGAUAUCGUCACUCAGUAGAGUGGCAUGAGUUGCUACCGCUCGAUUUAGGUGGUAGUGACGCCUGGUUUUGAGAUAUCGUCGCUCAGUAGAGUGGCAUGAGUUACUAUCGCUCGUUUAGGUGAUAGUAACGACCGAUGUGUAAAGAGUAAUUGGAUUUUCAAGUUUGGUUGUUUAUAGUGUGUGAAUACUGGUCAAUGGUCCGUGUAUUGUUAGUUGAUGAUUUAUCAUGAUGUAAUGUGAGCUCAUGUAGAGUCACAAGUAGAGCUCGUGUAGAGUCACAAGUAGAGCUCGUGUAGAGUCACAAGUAGAGCUCGUGUAGAGUCACAAGUAGAGCUCGUGUAGAGUCACAAGUAGAGCUCGUGUAGAGUCACAAGUAGAGCUCGUGUAGAGUCACAAGUAGAGCUCAUGUAGAGUCCUUUAUAGAGUCUCAUGUUAGGUCAGGAAUGACCGAGCGAACUUGGAUACUGUGCUGUGGUAUAUUGUUUCAGAUUAACACACGAGGACGUGUGUCACGCAGGAUGGCCGUGUCGGAGUUGGUUAUGAAUUAAGAAGAGAAAUGGAUCAAAUCGGAAAAUAAAAUGAAGUUACAUCACUUCCGUCAUGAAGUUGCAACGCUCCGACGAAAGGUGGCGUACGAGCAGAGCGGAGUGAAGUCGGGGGAGUCACUACAGAGUCGUCGUGUCGAGCGGACGUGCACUGCCGUUCUAGUCGGGCAGUCUACCGCGAACCUUCGUCGUGAACGGACGUGUCGAAUAAUUACGAUCGGAACGUGGAGUGCUAUAGUCGCUCACCUAUAACUUGUAGGGACGUCAAGAAAGUGUGAUCGGAAAAGAGCACGUGUCCCGAUGAUUCGGUCCGAAUAUAGGAACCAUGGGUGGUGGAGGGCAAGUAGAGGGCGAGUAGCCCCUUCGCGCUAACGUCCUUAUGCGCGCUAGAUAACGAGAGACUGUGUAACCGUUACGAAUACCGUGACGUUGCCGUGAGUGUGUACCUUAUGCUGUGACUUUAUUUAAUCGUGAUACAAAAACUAUGUGGAAGUAAAUAAAAUGAUUGUGAUACUGAU